RNAcentral lists this unclassified non-coding RNA (321 nucleotides) under fungal sp. Its description in RNAcentral is "partial internal transcribed spacer region". The stretch from base 1 to 46 matches the Rfam family "Eukaryotic small subunit ribosomal RNA", at positions 1786 to 1831 of the family's 1831-position model. Lineage: Eukaryota; Fungi. The record is from RNAcentral.
AAGUCGUAACAAGGUUUCCGUAGGUGAACCUGCGGAAGGAUCAUUAUCAAUGAAUUAGCAUGAGCGCUUCUUAUUUUUUUAUAAGGGGUGUUUUUGUAUUUUUUUGUGCACUGUUUUCUUUUCUUUUUUAUUUUAUUUUAUUUUAGCGGCUUUUGCGAUUAUUUAUUUAGUUGCUUGUAGGCGUUAAGAUGAAUUAAAAAAAAAAGAGAGAAAUUGAUUUUCUUAUUAUUAUUAUUAUUUUUUGUUAACGUUAUUUGCCUAGCGCAAGUAGCGAUUUAAUUAAAAAGAAGACAACUUUCAGCAAUGGAUCUCUUGGCUCUU